RNAcentral lists this transfer RNA (72 nucleotides) under Phytophthora infestans (potato late blight agent). RNAcentral's name for it is "tRNA-Pro". It matches the Rfam family "tRNA". Rfam says of the family: Transfer RNA (tRNA) molecules are approximately 80 nucleotides in length. Their secondary structure includes four short double-helical elements and three loops (D, anti-codon, and T loops). Lineage: Eukaryota; Oomycota; Peronosporomycetes; Peronosporales; Peronosporaceae. The record is from RNAcentral.
GGCCUUGUGGUCUAGUGGUAUGAUUCUCGCUUAGGGUGCGAGAGGUCCCGGAUUCGAUCUUUGGCAAGGCCC